Molecule: unclassified non-coding RNA, 1957 nt
Filed under: Leptobrachella parva (Gunung Mulu Borneo frog)
Lineage: Eukaryota; Metazoa; Chordata; Amphibia; Anura; Megophryidae
Description: partial contains 12S ribosormal RNA and 16S ribosormal RNA
Rfam family: Bacterial large subunit ribosomal RNA
Source: RNAcentral
UAACCAUUGAUUAUUACACCCCCCCCCCGCCCGACUACUACGAGCCAACAGCUUAAAACUCAAGAGACUUGGCGGUGCUCUAUACCCACCUAGAGGAGCCUGUUCUAUAAUCGAUAACCCCCGAUACACCCCACCGCUUCUUGCCUAACCGCCUAUAUACCGCCGUCGCCAACCUACCCUUUGAGGGAUCCACAGUAGGUCCAAUGGCUUAUCGCCAAUACGUCAGGUCAAGGUGUAGCUAAUGAAACGGAGAGAAAUGGGCUACAUUUUCUAAUCCAGACUACACGAAAAAUUAUAUGAAAUCCGAUUAGAAGGAGGAUUUAGCAGUAAAAAGAAACCAACAAGUUCUUUUUAAGCCGGCCCUAGAGCGCGUACAUACCGCCCGUCACCCUCUUCAACUCUUAAACAAUCCACUCUAUAAAAUAUCUAUAAAAACUAGAAGAGGUAAGUCGUAACAUGGUAAGCCCACCGGAAGGUGUGCUUGGAAUUGAUGCUCCAUUAACUUCCAUAAAAGAAGCCUAUGCCUAUUAACUUAGGGCAUUUUUUUAUCCGCCCUCUAGCCUGAACACACAUUACCUAUUAUCCCCAUGAAACAAAACAUUUUCAAUCUAUAGUAUCUGAGACAGAAAAGGAAUUCAGAGCAAUAUCAAUAGUACCGCAAGGGAAAGAUGAAAUAGUAAUGAAAUAACCAAAAACACAUCAAAGCAAAGAUUAAACCUUGUACCUUUUGCAUCAUGAUUUAACUAGAUAAUUUGAGCAAAGUGACCUCUAGUUUACAACCCCGAACCUAGGUGAGCUACUCCAAGGCAACUAAUGAGUUAACCCGUCUCUGUGGCAAAAGAGUGGGGUGACCUUAGAGUAGAGGUGAUAUACCUAUCAAACCUAGUGAUAGCUGGUUAUUCAGGAAAAGAAUAUUAGUUCUCUCUUAAGAAUCUUUUAACACCAAUAAGCAAACAAAUUCUUAGGAUUUAUUCAGUAAGGGUACAGCCUUACUGAAAGAGGAUACAACCUUAACUUUAGGUUAAUGACCUACUUUAUCAAACAGACUAAGUCGGCUUAAAAGCAGCCACCUUAAAAAAGCGUCAAAGCUUCAUCUACAGACCACCCAUCACCAAUCCCCCAGCCUUAUCAUAACCCAAUAAUACUACUGAACUGCCCUAUACCUCUAUAGGAGUAUUUAUGUUAAAACUAGUAACACAGAAAGACUUUCUCUUACUUGUAAGUGUAAAUCAGAUCGAAUACCUCAGUGAUACCUAUUCAGCUAGAAUUUUACGUAAGUAACCCCCCCCCCCGAAAAUCCUACGAACCCCACUGUUAAUCUCACACAAGAACAAGAAAGAAAGAUUUAAAGACCCGGAAGGAACUCGGCAAAUACUAGUCCCGCCUGUUUACCAAAAACAUCGCCUUUUGUCUCCUAUAAAAGGUUACGCCUGCCCAGUGACAAUUGUUCAACGGCCGCGGUAUUUUAACCGUGCAAAGGUAGCGUAAUCACUUGUCUUCUAAAUAAAGACCAGUAUGAACGGCGCCACGAGAACUAAGCUGUCUCCCGCCUCUAAUCAGUGAAACUGAUCCCCCCGUGCAGAAGCGGGGAUAAAGCCAUAAGACGAGAAGACCCUGUGGAACUUAAAAUUUACAAUCAUCUGCCUUUAACUCACCCCUCAAUGGCACAAACCUGAUUUGUAUUUUCAGCUGGGGCAUCUAUGGAGAAAAAACUAUCCUCCAUGAAGAAUUUAACCCAAGAGCUACCCCUCUAAGCAUUAAUACCCUUAACCUUACCUGACCCAAUUAUAUUGAUCAACGGACCAAGUUACCCCAGGGAUAACAGCGCAAUCCACUUCUAGAGUUCCUAUCGACAAGUGGGCUUACGACCUCGAUGUUGGAUCAGGGCAUCCUAGUGGUGCAGCCACUACUAAAGGUUCGUUUGUUCAACGAUUAAAGCCCUACGUGAUCUGAGUCC